RNAcentral lists this unclassified non-coding RNA (971 nucleotides) under Hevea brasiliensis (rubber tree). Lineage: Eukaryota; Viridiplantae; Streptophyta; Magnoliopsida; Malpighiales; Euphorbiaceae. The record is from RNAcentral.
UGGAAAGCUGAGCUAAACUGCAUUUUAACAAUAAAUAAAAGUUCAUUCGCUCCUUGCACCUAGCACUAACACACUCUUUAUCUUCUUGAAAAAAAAAAUCUCUUAAUUACUCUCUCCUUGUCGUCUCCUUCCCCUUCCCCCUGUCUCUCUACUAAAAUCAAGAACAAUAUCACAAUCCCUUUAGGCCAAAAUCAACAAUAAAAUCCACUAGAUUCAAAUAAUCCCCAACCCUUUAAACUUGUUCUGGAAAUUUCGAACAGAAAAAAAAAAAAAAAGCACCAGGCUCCAUUGACAAGCGAGAUCAAGCUCAAGAAUUUGCCUACCAACAUGUCAUAAUCCCUCUAUUGCAUUAACAAUAGCAAGAGAUGCAACAAUAGCAGCAGACCCAUCACUUAAAUCCGACGCCCACAAUAUCCCUCCUAUAAAAUUCAUCCCCAAACCCACUAACCCUGUUGCCAGUUGCCCCGGCUACUUCAGUCUUCUUCCUCCUCAGUUGGCAAAAUCUCAAAUCUUCUCCCGGAUUUCUUCUGCAAAAACUCAACCAACGCCUUACCAUCCAUGGUCCCUUUGACGGUCAACGUAUCCUUCUGCAUGUCCACUCUCACCUCCUGCACACCUUCGUUCUUCAAAAUGGUCCUUUUAAGUUUCUUGGCACAUUGCCAACAGUGUAACGGCCCCUUGAUUACCGCCCGCGUCACCGGAGCCUUUGUAUUCCAGGGAAAUCUAGACCAUAAUACACCAGAGGCAAAGAUUAAAGGCCAAACAGAGAUUUUGAUAGGACAUUCAGCUUUACGAGACAGAAAGGCAUAAGCAAUUGCUGCAAAAACGCAUUGGAAGAUGCUACAAACUAAUCCAACAAUAACAGCAAAUGUCCUCAGAGGCUUGUGACUUUGAGAUGGGGAGCCUCUCAUCAUUAAUUUAGCUCCUUCUUUUUGGCAUGUUCGAGCAAGAUCAAUAAUGGAGAUGAGCAU